AACGAACGCUGGCGGCAGGCCUAACACAUGCAAGUCGAACGGGCGUAGCAAUACGUCAGUGGCGGACGGGUGAGUAACACGUGGGAAUAUGCCUUUCGGUUCGGAACAACUCGGGGAAACUCGUGCUAAUUCCGGAUACGCCCUUACGGGGAAAGAUUUAUCGCCGAAAGAUUAGCCCGCGUCCGAUUAGCUAGUUGGUGAGGUAAAGGCUCACCAAGGCACCGAUCGGUAGCUGGUUUGAGAGAACGACCAGCCACACUGGGACUGAGACACGGCCCAGACUCCUACGGGAGGCAGCAGUGGGGAAUCUUGGACAAUGGGCGCAAGCCUGAUCCAGCCAUGCCGCGUGAGUGAUGAAGGCCUU
RNAcentral lists this ribosomal RNA (364 nucleotides) under uncultured bacterium. RNAcentral's name for it is "bacterial SSU rRNA". It matches the Rfam family "Bacterial small subunit ribosomal RNA", at positions 29 to 418 of the family's 1533-position model. The record is from RNAcentral.